This 174-nucleotide ribosomal RNA is filed under the name Scinax sp. KAV13. RNAcentral's name for it is "partial 16S large subunit ribosomal RNA". Lineage: Eukaryota; Metazoa; Chordata; Amphibia; Anura; Hylidae. The record is from RNAcentral.
ACGUGAUCUGAGUUCAGACCGGAGUAAUCCAGGUCGGUUUCUAUCUAUGACAGAGCUUAUUCUAGUACGAAAGGACCGAAAAAGCAUGGCCUAUACCUAAAGCAAGCCAUCAUUAGCAAUUUAUGUCUACAACUCAAUUAACAACUAAUCUACAACCUCCCUUUAGAUAAGAGA